This 469-nucleotide ribosomal RNA is filed under the name uncultured bacterium. RNAcentral describes it as "partial 16S ribosomal RNA". It matches the Rfam family "Bacterial small subunit ribosomal RNA", at positions 28 to 507 of the family's 1533-position model. The record is from RNAcentral.
GAUGAACGCUGGCGGCGCGCCUAACACAUGCAAGUCGAACGGUUAAAGCACCCUUUUGGGGGGUGUAAGGUGGCGAACGGCUGAGUAACACGUGGGCUACCUGCCCUCCUCUUGGGGAUAGCCUCGGGAAACCGAGGGUAAUACCCGAUACUUCACUGUGGCCGCAUGACGAGAUUGAGAAAGCUUUUGCGGGGAAGGAUGGGCCCGCGGCCUGUUAGCUUGUUGGUGGGGUAGAGGCCUACCAAGGCAAUGAUGGGUAGCUGGGUUGAGAGGCCGACCAGCCAGCAUGGGACUGAGACACGGGCCAGGCCCCCACGGGGAGGAGGGGGGGGGGAACAUGCCACAUGGGCGGGAGGCUGAUGGCGCGAAGGCGCGGGGGGGACGGAGGGCUUCGGGUUGGAAACCGGCUUCAGCAGGGACGAGGCGAUGAGUGACGGUACCUGGAGAAGAAGCCCCGGCUAACUACGUG